AUGUCGCUAUGGUGGAACGAGUGGCAGCUGCGCAUCCUCGUCUUAGCCAGCCUCAGCGCCCAAUACUUCCUCGUGUUAUCUGCACGCGCUCGUAAGUUUCAUAUCCCGCCAUGGCUCAAAGUCUCCCUUCGGCUGGCGCACCUCGGCAGAGACGCUCUGGCCAUCUUCGCCCUCGCCACGCUCUUCAACCGCCAAAAAGGUGGGCCGCGCUGCAGCUACGCGCGUGGCACCCGCGAUUUGGAGCUGCUAUGGGCGCCGGUCCUGGUGAUGCACCUCGGCGGACAAGUCGUCAUUACCAGCUACAAGAUUGAAGACAACGAGCAGUGGAGCCGCCACAUCCUAACGUCUCUAUCCAAGGUAACUGUCGCACUGUACGUGUUUUACAAGUCAUGGUUGUCAGACGACAAAAGGUUGCUGGCUGCAACAAUAUUGCUUUUCGUUAUGGUGGUUGUCAGAUGCUUCCAGAAGGCCCUGGAUCUUAGGGACAGUAGUUUUAAUGCCCUAAGAAAGGCCAGCUCGUUGCCCGAGUGGGUCACCCUCCGCAGAACCAAACUCAGACAAAAAAGAUUGUCUCGUUAUAACCUCAAUGGCGAAGGUCUUGAGAGAAAACAGGAAGAAGGGUUGAUUGGAAAAUAUGUACAAGAUGUAAAAGCUCUCGUGUCCAGGUGUGUUGAACCGCAUCUAGAACAAGAAGCUAGCAGAGCACACCCUCAGCUGGAAGCAGACUACCCACACUUGGCGAGACCAACAGUCAUCCCAAGGCUACCGUACCAGCUAUUCUUAGACUUUUCAUCUAAAUAUGUUCAUCGUCUUGAGAUCAUGAGACACUUCUGGUCGGUUGACAACGAAAAAGUCUAUCUGGCAAUAGAAGGCGCGUUGUCUGCUAUGACCAGUUUUCUCUACACCAAAGAUGAUAGCACAACCACCCUCAAAAAAGAUGAUAGCACAACCCGCCUUGAUUUCAAGAAGACUACAGUACUGCUCAUCCUUCGUCGGUACACACAUGUCCUUAUAACUUGUGCAGCGUUAAUUGCAGCCAUCUGCCUGGUACACACUGGCAGCCACAAAGAAGAUUAUAGCGGUGAAGAUACCUGGGUUACACUGGUGUUUCUGUACGGCACCCUUCUGCUGGAGCUCGUUUACUUGUGCGCAAAAUCAGCUUUCCGGGAAAAGUUCUCUGGCAAAAUUCUUCAACAUAAUCUUAUUGGAUUAGUAGCCCGUAACAGAUGUCACUCCAAGUUGACGAGGAUUGCGGCAUGGUUAGGAUGCAAGGAGUUGGUGGACGAAUACUUUUGGCACAUGAAGCCUAACUAUUCGUCGUGUAGGGAGAUUACAAAAUUGGUUCGUGGGCAUGUUCAAUCAGGUUGGGAGGACUACAUAACUGACUCCGGCUCUUACAAGAAGUUCAAUGAAACCAGGGGAGACUGGACGCUUGCCAGGGCCAGGUGUGGAUAUUCCGAACGACUGGAUUGGAGCAUACGGAGGCCAUUUGACGAGAGUGUUAUUCUCUGGCACCUGGCCACAGAUUUAUUAUGUGCUCACCUGGACACAUCUCCUGAUGAUCAAUGUGCCCCUCGGUGCAAAGAAAUAUCCAACUACAUGAUGCAUCUCUUGUUUGAAAAUCCUGAGAUGCUAAUGCCAGGCAGCAGAAAGAAUUUGUUAGCACGUGUCUGCGGCGAACUCGAGGACCUCCUCGAGAGGGAGCAUACCCGUCGGGACAAGGAAAUUACACACCGGGGUAUUUCUGAGUUUCUUAUCGACUUCUACCAUGAUACCGACCAUACCGAGGACAAUGGUAUUAUUGUCGGUGCUUGCCGGCUUGUUGCUCAAAUAUUAUAUAAUCAUAAUCAUGGAGACUCUGAUGAUGAUCAGACCAGGAUGUGGAAAGUGAUCCAAUGCGUGUGGGUGGAGAUGCUCUGCUUUUCUGCCGGCCGGUCCCGAGGAUACUUGCACGCGCAGACUCUUGGAACUGGUGUGGAGUACCUCUCCUAUAUCUGGGUCUUAUUGGCAUACACUGGGAUGGAGACACUGGCAGAUAAGCUUCAGGAAAGGGAGGUUUUUGUCGAUGCACGUGUCUGA
RNAcentral lists this ribosomal RNA (2079 nucleotides) under Triticum aestivum (bread wheat). Its description in RNAcentral is "partial small subunit ribosomal RNA". Lineage: Eukaryota; Viridiplantae; Streptophyta; Magnoliopsida; Poales; Poaceae. The record is from RNAcentral.